RNAcentral lists this ribosomal RNA (603 nucleotides) under Squalius lepidus (Tigris dace). Its description in RNAcentral is "partial large subunit ribosomal RNA". It matches the Rfam family "Bacterial large subunit ribosomal RNA", at positions 1810 to 2615 of the family's 2925-position model. The record is from RNAcentral. Lineage: Eukaryota; Metazoa; Chordata; Actinopteri; Cypriniformes; Leuciscidae.
AAAACAUCGCCUCCUGCAACUAUAUUGAGUAUAGGAGGUCCAGCCUGCCCAGUGACUACGGGUUCAACGGCCGCGGUAUUUUGACCGUGCAAAGGUAGCGCAAUCACUUGUCUCUUAAAUAGAGACCUGUAUGAAUGGCUAGACCGAGGGCUUAACUGUCUCCCCCUUCCGGUCAGUGAAAUUGAUCUAUCCGUGCAGAAGCGGGUAUAAUUUUACAAGACGAGAAGACCCUUUGGAGCUUAAGGUACAAAAUUCAACCACGUUAAACGACUUCACAGAGAGCAAGAACUUAGUGGCGAGUGAAAUUUUACCUUCGGUUGGGGCGACCACGGAGGAGAAAGAAGCCUCCGAGUGGACUGGGCUAAUCCCCAAAGCCAAGAGAUACAUCUAUAAGCCGCAGAACAUCUGACCAAAAAUGAUCCGGCUGAUAAAGCCGAUCAACGAACCAAGUUACCCUAGGGAUAACAGCGCAAUCCUCUCCCAGAGUCCAUAUCGACGAGGGGGUUUACGACCUCGAUGUUGGAUCAGGACAUCCUAAUGGUGCAGCCGCUAUUAAGGGUUCGUUUGUUCAACGAUUAAAGUCCUACGUGAUCUGAGUUCAGA